AAAAAUAAAUAAUAAAAACGGGGAUUUAGAUUAAUUGACAUGAAGAGUAUUCUGGAACUUUUCAUCAGCCUCUUCUCUCUUUCAUUUUUUUGUAUGCUUCUCUCAUCCAAUAGAUCUGUUUCUUCGCUGAGGCUAUAACCAUUAAGAUCGUGAGAAGAUUUCAAAUUAUCAAAACAUGAUGAUGGCGAGUUCCUAGUACUCCAGAUAGAUAUGAUUCGUUUGGGUUGUCAUCAAACCCUAGAAUAACUCAAUUUGGUGCUUUUUCAUUGUUGAACCUGCAACCUAUCAAUCCAAAGCUGAAUGAUGAGAAUUAACGAUAUUGGAGAUCACGCUUAUUGGUUGCAACGGGCGCUUUUGAUCUUGAAGAUCAUCUCAUAGGUUUAAUACCCUACCCUUCACCCUUUAUAGCUGUUAAAAAUGAAAGUAAUUUUGGUGUGGUUAAACAAUCGAAUCCUGAUUAUUCAUUAUGGAAAAGAAUAGACAAGUUCUUAAUGAGUUGGUUGUUAUCUUUCAAUUACAAAAUGCAUGUUUAGUAAUAUAUUAACUCUAGGUUUGAAACCUCAACUGAGGUAUGAAAUACACUGCAGAAUAGUUUUAUUGCUGAUUCUAAAAUUAGAUUGAUGCAAUUAAUGUCAACUUUCCAAACAUUUAAGAAGGGAAUGUUGAGUGUCAGUGAAUAUGUUAAAACAAUGACAAAAGUUGCUGAUGCUUUGACAUCUAGUGGGCAAGUUAUCACUGGAGAUUAUGUGAUUGGGUAUAUAACAGAUGGAGUAGGUCCAGAACUUGACCCUGUGGUAGUUUACAUUACAGUAAAACUAGAUUCUCCUAGUAAAACUAUAACUUUUGCAGAAGCAAAAUAUGUUUUACAAAAAUUUGAGUAGAGGAUGAGUAGAAAUUCAAUGUAUGUAGUUGAUUUACAAGGAGGUCUAGUGAAUGUAGCAACACAAGUAGGUGGUAGAGUUAAAGAAGAGAAAAAUGCUACAGUGUUCUAUUCAAGGGCAGAUGAUAUAGAUUUUGUUCACAUUGGAUAGCUUCAAAAUAAUGUUAGUACUGGUAAGUUGUAUGACAGAAUUUAAGGCUUAGGUAGAGGUAGAGGUUAUCUGUUGAGUGCAUAAUUUAUAUACAUUUAGUGUCUAAUCAUUAGAUUUUUAGGUACAUUUUAGUUAGAAUAUUUUUAGUUUUAUUUAAUGAUAUUUCCUCAUUUUAGUUAGAUAUUGUUAGUUUUAUUUAAUUUUAAUGUUAAUUUCGUGAUUUUUCCUUAUUUUGUGAUUCUUAGAUAUUUAGUGAAGAUUUAGAGACAAAUUUCGAACAAAGAUGGAUAAAUUUGGAAAAAAUUUGACAUCUUGGCUUAAAUCAAGCAAGAUUUCCUAAUGUAGGUGGAAGUAUCCUGAUAUAGAGAGCUGAAAUGGGAAACUAAUGCAAGCAGAAACAAGAAACUAGUAUAACCAAAAUAGGAAAAUAUUUGCGAGCAUGUUUGACAGAAUCUACAAAAUCCUAGUAUAUCUAGGACUCCCAGAUGCGUGCUAGCUAUCAAUCCCAAACUAUUUAAAGACAUUUUUCAUACAAAAUAUACUUCCUUUCCACCUCUUCAGCCUUCCAACCGCCUAAAACUCAUUGUAAAUCAAGGAUUUAACACAAAAACUCAAGAUCAAGGAACAAGAAUUGCUAAUUACUUCAAGAAUUCAAGAAGAUCAAGAUUUGAAUGUCUUCCCAAGAUUUCUAACUUCUUCUUAAUUCUUUAUUAUAUCAUGAAUUAUUCUUGUUAUUUGAUUUGUGUUUUUAUUAUUAUUAUGAGUGGCUAAAUAUAUUUUCUAUGGAUUAAAAGAGAUCUUUCAA
Mangifera indica (mango) is the source of this 1836-nucleotide long non-coding RNA. RefSeq lists it as uncharacterized. The transcript has 3 exons. NCBI's taxonomy places the organism in Eukaryota, Viridiplantae, Streptophyta, Magnoliopsida, Sapindales, Anacardiaceae. The record is from RefSeq and is a predicted model, not a curated record.